UUAUAAAUUCAUUGAUUUACUGAAGAGAAAUAGAAAGGCAUAAUUUUUAGUGGUCGCAGCUGCAGAACGAUGAUGGUCCUUAUUCUAGGAGGUAUACGCCGUCUACGACGACGAUUGCAACGCCAACAAGAAGAAGAAGAAGAGCAGGAGCAGCAGCAACAACAACAACUGCAACGUCAAGGUGACCAAAAUCAUCAGUUCCGCCAUGAACAACACCGCCAAAAUGAAGUUGGAAUCCGACAGAAGAAGCUGCUCCGGUGAUCUCCGCCAGUGGAUUGUUCCUCAUUCUCAUAGGGAUUGUGUACGAGUUUGAGGCUCGGGGUUUGCUUGAAGGAAUCCAACAUGCAAGGUUGUUAGAUGUCACAGUCACAGAUAUUUCGAUCGAUUGUGAAGAGAUAACUACUCUUUUUACUAAAGGACAGGAAUCUUGGUCUUGGGAGUUAUUUAUCUUUCUAUUGGGAUAAUCAGUUAACUAUGGGACAUUUUAAGAAAAUAUGUAUUAAUAAAGUUACAAUAUUUGUUAAGUGUGCUGCAGGGGCACAAUGGGGUUUUCUCCCACCCCAUCGACCCUAUUUAGAGUGGGGCGGUUGGAUGGGAGGUAUACUUGUAAUUGGGUUGGGAGUUGUAUCUUGUACUCCUGUUAUGACUCUAUAUAUUUUUCCUAUUAUAAGUAAAGGGUUUGUGUGAUCAGUUAGA
Long non-coding RNA from Macadamia integrifolia, 696 nucleotides. RefSeq lists it as uncharacterized. The transcript has 2 exons. Lineage: Eukaryota; Viridiplantae; Streptophyta; Magnoliopsida; Proteales; Proteaceae. The record is from RefSeq and is a predicted model, not a curated record.